CUGGGGACCAGGCAGAGAGAGCCAUCGCCAGCCCCGGCCGGAGGAGAUGGGCUGUGGCAACUCCACCCCGGCCACCAGCACCAGCACCACCGCAGAUGCUGCAGGAACAGCAAAAGAUGUAAGAAUCAGUGUCAGAAGAUGACAAACGGAGAUUAGAAGACUGAACACUCUGGAUGAUAUGAUCGAUUGGAGUUAUCUGCACAGAUCACUCAUCACAAUGGAAUGGAGUGGUACCUUUCUGCUGACAUUUUAUUUAGCCAGAAAGACCAGACCACCUCAAAGUUUUGUGGCUGUGAAAGUUACAACUACGGGUCAAGCUGAAUGCUCAAAAUGGAACUAAAGUGAACGACUGAGAUUUUUGAGAACUUUCUGAUGUCAUAUAGUGCUGUGUUAUUUAACAGGUGGCUGAUGGGCCUUUCUGCACAAGCACUGAGAUGGUUGACCACCAGUGCUUUAGCCAUACUACAGGUUAUUAUGAGUGAAACCAGGUCUGUUUUCUCUUCAACUACUUUUGAGAGCUUUUAUAUAAGGAGACCAUACUACUGUUCACUCAAGUGUUCCUAAGCUGAGGAGAAGGCACCUGGGAGAUCACUCCCAUACGUCAUGCAAAGGAAGAUUAUGAAAUGGUGAAGUGAAGUUCAUUUUAUGGCCAAACUAGCUACUAAGCAAGUGAAUGUUGAGCAGAACUGCAGGGCAAUAGAAACUGGAAUAGGAACCAGCGGAUUCAAAUUAGAAGAAAAGAGAUUCCACUUAACCACUAGGAAGAACUCUUUGACAGUGGAAUAGACUGCCCCAGAGGAUGGUGAAUUCUCCCUCUUUUGGAAAUCCUUAAAUAGAGUUUGGAUGGACAUCUUUCAGAAGUGUUGCAGCUGUAUAUUUCUGCCUUGCCUGGGCUUGGACUACAUGGCCUUGUGACCUCUUUCAACUCUUAACAUCUGGGGAAGAAAGAAAGUCUGAGGGGUGGUGGCAACAGAUGAUGUUAUCACCCGGCUAACCAAAAAGUCUAGGACAUACAACACUUGGAGUUAUGCUCCAUCAAAAUGCAGGGGAUGAUUUUUCUUGUGCCUAUCCAGUCCUUGAUGGCAAUCAAUUUCCAAGUCCAUUGACUUCAUUCAGUGUUUGCCUUGAAAGAGCAAUUAAAAGCAGACAUUGCAUAAGGGUUGCUGCACGCAUACCUAUCUCUGUUGUUUACACAGUGAUGGAGGAAGAAGCAAGGGCACUGAUAAAUGAAUAGGCAAGUUAGACCAUGAGGCUAUUCAUCUUUGCCCCCAGUAUGCCACAGGAAAUCAUAGGUUAGGUUUCAAGCAACUGGGUAGAGUGGAUGCAUGCCCACACACCAUGCCUAGGUAGGGCUGACCCAAGACUGUUUGCUGGUUGUGGCAAAGGACAAGAUAGUGUCACUCCCUCAUUCUAUAUACAGAAGCUGGGAAAGAAUCUGUCACCACACCUGAUGGCAGCAAAUCAGUUUUAGGGAUCAGAACAGUUUUCGCUCAGGAAAAACUGCCAAGUGAUUGAUGAUGUUGCUACUCACCAUCUACCACCUCAGACAACAGCUUCAUAUUACCUAAUGGAAGGGCCAGUCCUUCUUCCCAGCACCCUCCCUGCCCAAGAAUGAUGCAUACGCAAUGCACUCCUGCACAAAAUUAGUGAUUAAAUUUUAUAAAUAAAACACCACACAAAUUAAUUGGCAAAAAGAGCAGUACUCUCUUGUAACAGGAGAUCUAUCUAUCUAUCUAUCUAUCUAUCUAUCUAUCUAUCUAUCUAUC
Sceloporus undulatus (fence lizard) is the source of this 1766-nucleotide long non-coding RNA. RefSeq lists it as uncharacterized. NCBI's taxonomy places the organism in Eukaryota, Metazoa, Chordata, Lepidosauria, Squamata, Phrynosomatidae. The record is from RefSeq and is a predicted model, not a curated record. The transcript has 7 exons.